UUGUUCUUAUCCAACCUUUUCUUCUCCCAUCAAAAUCGUCUAGAAGCCCUAAAACCACCCCCACCCCACCGAUCGAUUUUGCUCCUUCUACUACACCUUCAAUGGCUGCCAUGGAUUUGGUGGCACAGGUGUGUUUUCCUGCUUCCAUUCUGACCUCCACCGCCUCCUCUCACUUCAGUUGUGGUGCUUUGGAGUUCCAGUGGGUGAUUAAGUAUACGCUUCUCGCUUCUUCUUCUACCUACCACUCCCCAAUGGCUCCGGCGACGACACACCCUUUCUCCAUCAGGUGUGUAAAGUUAUGGGCAACACGAUGAUUGCUUGAUUCCAAAAAUUAGGAUUUCUGGCUCAAGACUUCCGAAUGUGGGCUUCUCAUCUUCAUCCAUGGAUUUUUGGUUCUCUAACUUGAUUAGGUUUACUGCAGUCGUUGAUGAUGCCAGAGCUAGAAAAUCCAGCAAGAUUUCGAGAUAAUAAAGAGAUGUUUACUGUUAUGGAUGAAGUUUUGGCUGCUGCCCACCAGCUUAUGGAAAAUGUUUGCAGUUGAAGUCACGAAAUUCAGAAGCUCUGUAUUAACCUUCUUCAAAAGGUUGCAAUGUGGAACCGGGCCGUAUCUACUAUCAUGUUUCAGUUAUUGGUUCCUUACAAUAUGAGAAUUCGGACCAUGUUCUAUCACCUACUUGGUCUACAAGAGUCUUUUCACCUUCUGGUGUUCCUGACAUUCAGUGGAGACCUGGAAGUUCCUUCCAAACUCAGCAUGAAUACACUUGUACAUUAUAUUGUAUCUACAUUAACUAAAAUACUAUUAAUGUAUUUACUUUUUUUUUUAAUUUUAAUUUUGACAGGGACGACUCCGUUGUAGAACUGAAAUAGCACCAGAUCAAAGGGAGAAAUUUUUGCAGAAAUUCCAAUAAGUACAACAACAACGAAGCGGCACCCUUCCAGGAAUGCCGCCUAUUUCUUGAGGAACUUAUAAGCAAUUUUCAACACAACAAAACUCUCUUCUACAGCAGUUUAAUUCCCAAAGCUCAAGUGGAUGGGGUGGGGCACCGCCAGCAAGUCCCAACAUUGCCACGUCAGCACAACAACAAAAUCUAAUCCAUUUACAGUCAAGUCAACAGAUGUCAACCGGUUCUAAAGAUAGCGCAAAUAACAAUUCAAAAGUUGAUGACAUUGAACAACAGCAACAACAAAUACACCAACAAAGCGUUACAUAUCAUGACUCAAUACCUGAUCCUGCACAAUCUCCUGUCCUUAACAAGAACACUUCCAAUGAAGAAGAUUCAAACGUCUCAUACAUUAGACAUGCAGCAGGGAUCUGGGACUAUGACAGAAGCAGCACAAAGCACACGCGAUGUUGACCUGUCACCUGGUCAGCCAUUACAAUCAAACCAGUCGGUUAGCCUGGGUGUGAUUGGUAGAAGAAUCCUGACUUGGGUGCAAUUGGAGACAACGUUAAUGGGUUAGCCGUGUCCCUAGGUGGGACCCACGACCAACAAUACAACCUCCAAAUGCUUGAGUCCGCCUUCUACAAACUCCCCCAACCCCGAGACUCAGAACGUCCCAAAAGCUACAUUGUAGUGAAUAUUAUUACAUCAUACUUUCAUUUUUUAUUUUUUAUUUAACUCUUUUACAGAGGCACCCUGCGGUGACCCCAUAAAGCUAUCCGCAAGUGCAAGCUCUAAUUGUGAACAACUUGGCCUUUUGGGAACGUCUUGGAUCCGACAACAUUGGGACCGAUACUUUAUUUUUUUCAUUUAUUAUCAAUAGGUAUUUUUAUUUUUAUAUCAUUUGUAAUUUUUAUUUUAAAUUUUUUGAAAUUUGUGUGAUUUCAUGCACAAUGCUUAUCAACACUAUAUGGCUGCAAAAGAAUUAAAGAAAUAAUCAUGGAGGUACCAUAAAUAAUACAACACGUGGUUUCAAAGACAUGAAGAGCCAAAAUUUGCUAAACCGGAACCGGGUCAGAACUGUCAGAGGCAAAAAUCCAUGCAAAUCUUUUUCGAAAACAUUCUUUGUGGAAUGUAUACCCUGUGCAGAUGAUCUGCUGAUGGGGAGAUCCUCGGUUGAUUCAACAAGUGGUUUUCAGGAUGAUCCACAAGAAAGGUGGCAUAUUGAGUUCCAACCAUGGCCCCACUAAGCCCCUAUUGAGUUCCAACCAUGUAACUUGGACAGUUAACUAAAAAAAAUAGAUUUCAAAAUAAUCACAAUUUAAGGGAUAUUUUAGGCAAUUUUUCAUAAUAAUAGGCUGCUAUGGUAAGAUAGAAAGUUGCGGCUUAAAUUGUGAUUAUUUUGAAAUCUAUUUUUUUUAGUAUUUUGGUUAGAAAAAUUGAUUUAUGUGUUCUUCAUUACAGGGUAUUUAGGAAUUCUGUGUUUAUCAAUAGUUGAUCAAAUGACAUU
Molecule: non-coding RNA, 2391 nt
Organism: Lactuca sativa (garden lettuce)
Lineage: Eukaryota; Viridiplantae; Streptophyta; Magnoliopsida; Asterales; Asteraceae
Source: RefSeq, a predicted model, not a curated record